GAACUGAUUAGAAGCUUGCUUCUAUGACGUUAGCGGCGGACGGGUGAGUAACACGUGGGCAACCUGCCUGUAAGACUGGGAUAACUUCGGGAAACCGAAGCUAAUACCGGAUAGGAUCUUCUCCUUCAUGGGAGAUGAUUGAAAGAUGGUUUCGGCUAUCACUUACAGAUGGGCCCGCGGUGCAUUAGCUAGUUGGUGAGGUAACGGCUCACCAAGGCAACGAUGCAUAGCCGACCUGAGAGGGUGAUCGGCCACACUGGGACUGAGACACGGCCCAGACUCCUACGGGAGGCAGCAGUAGGGAAUCUUCCGCAAUGGACGAAAGUCUGACGGAGCAACGCCGCGUGAGUGAUGAAGGCUUUCGGGUCGUAAAACUCUGUUGUUAGGGAAGAACAAGUACGAGAGUAACUGCUCGUACCUUGACGGUACCUAACCAGAAAGCCACGGCUAACUACGUGCCAGCAGCCGCGGUA
Molecule: ribosomal RNA, 473 nt
Filed under: Lactobacillus sp.
Lineage: Bacteria; Bacillati; Bacillota; Bacilli; Lactobacillales; Lactobacillaceae
Description: bacterial SSU rRNA
Rfam family: Bacterial small subunit ribosomal RNA
Source: RNAcentral